This is a long non-coding RNA of Nerophis ophidion (straightnose pipefish), 331 nucleotides long. RefSeq lists it as uncharacterized. The record is from RefSeq and is a predicted model, not a curated record. The transcript is spliced from 3 exons. NCBI's taxonomy places the organism in Eukaryota, Metazoa, Chordata, Actinopteri, Syngnathiformes, Syngnathidae.
AGGAGGGUGACACUCUGGACAAGUUGCCCUCUCAUUGUAGGGCCAACACAGAUAAACAGACAACAUUCACAGUCACAUUCAAGAGUGGGCAUGGCAUGCACCUGGCAAGUUGGAUGCCAGUUACAGUACAUACAGUGUAAAUGAUGGCGGGAGCUGCCAUGCAAAGCGCUAACCAGAACCCAUCAGGAGCAAGGGUGAAGUGUCUUGCUCAAGGACACAACGGACGUGACUAGGAUGGUAGAAGGUAGGGAUUGAACCUGUAACCCUCAGAUUGCUGGCACGGCCACUCUCCGAACUUCGCCACGCCAUCCCCUUUGUGCACAUCACUAUC